Molecule: ribosomal RNA, 376 nt
Filed under: uncultured bacterium
Lineage: Bacteria
Description: bacterial SSU rRNA
Rfam family: Bacterial small subunit ribosomal RNA
Source: RNAcentral
UACGUAGGGUCCGAGCGUUGUCCGGAGUGACUGGGCGUAAAGCGCGCGCAGGCGGCCUGCGAGGUGUCACGUGAAAGCCCCGAGCUUAACUCGGGAGGGUCGUGGCAAACCGGUAGGCUUGAGGCCGGUAGAGGUGGGUGGAACUCCUGGUGGAGUGGUGAAAUGCGUAGAGAUCAGGAAGAACACCCGUGGCGAAGGCGGCCCACUGGGCCGGACCUGACGCUGAGGCGCGAAGGCGUGGGGAGCGAACGGGAUUAGAUACCCCGGUAGUCCACGCAGUAAACGAUGUCGACUCGGUGUGGGCGGUAUUGACCCCGUCCGCGCCAUAGCUAACGCGAGAAGUCGACCGCCUGGGGAGUACGGCCGCAAGGCUAAA